This 699-nucleotide long non-coding RNA is filed under the name Apteryx owenii (little spotted kiwi). RNAcentral describes it as "lncRNA (ENSAOWG00000011846.1)". The record is from RNAcentral. Lineage: Eukaryota; Metazoa; Chordata; Aves; Apterygiformes; Apterygidae.
CUCGGUAAGGAGCACAGCGGCAGCCGCGGCCCUGCGAAACUCACUUCCGCCUCGGUAGCGGCCGCGUGACAGGAAGCUCCCUCCCCACCCGCCCGUGCCGGCCCCGGAUGUGGCGUAAUCGCGGGGUGGCGCUGAGCGCGGCCGGCGGCAGCGGCGCGGAGAUGGCGGCCGGGGCCUGGCGCUGAGUUUCCAUGCUCCGUGGGGACGCCCUGAAGGAAAGCGGCCCCCGUGCCUGGGCCCCGUCGCGGCCCGGCCAUGCGGCUGCUGCUGCUGCGGGUGGGAUCCCGGCGGCGCCUGAGCUCGGGGUGAGUCGGCGCGCGGGGGGGGAGAGGAGACCCCCCCCCCCCAAAUGGGGGGCUCCCGGACGCCUGGGCCCCUCCCCGGACGCCUGGGCCCCUGGGAGGGGGGUGGAGGAGGGGGGUGUCCCGGACGCCUGGGCCCUUCCCGGACUCCUGGGCCCCUUCCUUGACGCUUGUCCUCCUGCCCCGGAUGCCUGGGCCCCUCCCUUCCCUGAACACCUGGGUCCCUCCCGGACACCUGGGCCCCUUCCCGGACACCUGGGCCGCUUCCCGGACGCCUGGGCCCCUCCCUUGACACUUGUCCUCCUGCCCCGGACGCCUGGGCCCCUUCCUUCCCUGGACACCUGGGUUCCUGGGGGGGGGUGGAGGGAGGUGUCCCGGACGCCUGGGCCCCUUCCUG